RNAcentral lists this ribosomal RNA (202 nucleotides) under uncultured bacterium. Its description in RNAcentral is "partial 16S ribosomal RNA". It matches the Rfam family "Bacterial small subunit ribosomal RNA", at positions 28 to 233 of the family's 1533-position model. The record is from RNAcentral.
GACGAACGCUGGCGGCGUGCUUAACACAUGCAAGUCGAGCGGUAAGGCCCUUUCGGGGGUACACGAGCGGCGAACGGGUGAGUAACACGUGGGUAACCUGCCCUCAGCUCUGGGAUAAGCCCGGGAAACUGGGUCUAAUACCGGAUAUGACCUCGUAUCGCAUGGUGCGGGGUGAAAGUGUCAGCGGCUGAGGAUGGGCCCG